GUGCCAGCACCCGCGGUAAUACGGAGGGUGCAAGCGUUAAUCGGAAUUACUGGGCGUAAAGCGCACGCAGGCGGUUUGUUAAGUCAGAUGUGAAAUCCCCGGGCUCAACCUGGGAACUGCAUUUGAAACUGGCAAGCUAGAGUCUCGUAGAGGGGGGUAGAAUUCCAGGUGUAGCGGUGAAAUGCGUAGAGAUCUGGAGGAAUACCGGUGGCGAAGGCGGCCCCCUGGCCGAAGACUGACGCUCAGGUGCGAAAGCGUGGGGAGCAAACAGGAUUAGAUACCCUGGUAGUCC
Molecule: ribosomal RNA, 292 nt
Filed under: uncultured microorganism
Description: partial 16S ribosomal RNA
Rfam family: Bacterial small subunit ribosomal RNA
Source: RNAcentral